This is a long non-coding RNA of Columba livia (rock pigeon), 2297 nucleotides long. RefSeq lists it as uncharacterized. The transcript has 2 exons. The record is from RefSeq and is a predicted model, not a curated record. Lineage: Eukaryota; Metazoa; Chordata; Aves; Columbiformes; Columbidae.
UGCGUCCCAUUGGCUACAGGCGGGAGGACCGCGCAAAGCGGAGCGCCGAUUGGCCGCGGGGGAAGGCGGCGGCCCGCCCCGCGGGGGUCGCGUGACGCCAGGUGGCGGGGCGGCCGCGGCGCUGUGCUGUGCCGUGCUCGCUGUCCCCGCUGCCCGCGCUGUGCUCGCUGUCCCCGGGACGGUGGGUCCGUGGCUGUCGCGCUGCGGGACCCCUCGUGCGCCUGCGUGGUUUUGUCUUCUCGCAGUUGGGAGCUGGGGAAUUUCUGCAGCGUGGCAAGAACUGGGGCUGGGGGAGUCCGCGGGGAGUGUGCGCCGGGACCCCAGGGCCAGUAGCCCGUCACGCCGCGUGGCAAGAGUCCCGCCCGGGGAGAUGGGCCGGGCUGCCCCACGCGUGGCUCUCCUGCGGUCUGAGCCCUCCUUGGCCCACCCUGACGUGGGACCUGCCGGUGCUAUGCGACCCGGGGGACACCGUGUUGUUCCGGGGGGCAGCGGGAGCGGCGUGUUCGGCGCUGGGUCCUGGCCUCCUGCUGUACGGGGCUCCGAUGCCACACACAGAGACAAUGAUGUUCUCAGAUUUGCCGGCGGUGAGCUCAGGAGAGCGGCGGGGCGGCCAUCGGUAGGGGCUGGGGGAUGGACAGGGCUGGGUGGCUGCACCAGAGCGGGCGACAGCCGACCUGUGCGUGAAAAGAUGAGACUUUAUUAAUUAAAUGAAUCUACUCUUAAUAGGAUUAUUUUUCACAUAAUAAAAUACACCAAGGAUUCUUCAGUGUUCUCCAAGUGAAGGAAAACUCUGGUAUUAUAACUGCGUGUGUUUGCAGCAGCAGGGCGGUCUGGUGUCCACAAAACGCAGCGGUCAGUGCGCUGGACAGUCAGCUUGCAGAAGUGCAACCCAGAUCUUCACCAGCCUCUGCUGGUAUUGGUUCUCAGCUAACCUCAAAAUAUGUCAUUACAGGUGGUUUUGGACAGCUUUAAUUCUCCUGUACUUAGUGGGGAUUUUCUGCAUUGUCUUCAAGUAGCAUUUCAAGUGAAGUGUUUAAUGGUAACAAAAUGCUUUGAGAUAAAUAAGCAGUUACAGGAGACCAUUUGUUUUCUUACAAUUUCUUGGCGCAGAUCUUUUAUUAACAGACACUUAUAGUUGUGUAGUGUAUAUCGCAACUAAUCUCCUUCAAACUUCUCUGACAUUUGUUCCUGUUCAACUUAAAACAUUUUUGGCACACUGCAGGAUCACAUUAUUCCAUUGUGUUGUCAAUCAUUUUUGGUUUAGAUCAGCAAAUCGUUAACAAUUACUUCCUUCAUAUCUUCAAAGACUUGGGCUGUGAUCCUUCCUUUUGUGAUCCAUCAGCAGCUGAAACAUUCCAGAAAGGAAACUAGUUGAAUGUAUGUGGUUGGUUUUUGAAUAAAUUAUUCUCAAAGACAGUAAUUACAAUGCCUAGAGGUGCUAGACACCUCAAAAGGUAGCCAAGUUUCUGGAUUAAUAGAUCUUUUUUUUCAUUUUUUGAGAUAAUAUUUUAAAUAUUCAUCUCACUUCUCUUUUAAAUAUCUCACAAGAGUAAACAAAUAUCCAGCUAAUAAUUUCCUUCUUUUUAUGCUGAGUACCACCCAAGUACUUUUUAAUAUCUUAAGCCUUAACCUCAUUAAUUAAUUAGAAAAAAACACUCUGACUUCUGAUACUUUAUAGGCAAACUUUUAGUUGAGGCCAGGCUGUUGUAGGAGAAACUUCAGUUCCGUAGGAUGAAAGUGCUGACAGAUCCUAAGCAACAAAACUCCAAAACAAGGCUUCCAGCCAGAAAGAUGAAUUGCUAUUGUACCCAUCCAAGUAUUACCCUUCUUUUCCUAUUGUCGGGUUUGGCAAGAGCGAGUUGAGCCCUCCGUUGGUUUUGAAAAAGAGCAUAUUCUCCACAAACCCAAAACACAGCAACUCCUGUAAACUGAACACUCCUGUGUGGCAGCAGAUGAGAUGAAAUGGAGAGAACGAAGAACUCUCCACAGGCUGGUGCUUUUUCCAAACCCCAAGGAGACAACCAUCAACAGAGGACAUUGUCCCGCAGGACUUUCAUUGAGAACUAAGUAUGCCAAUGCUGUUAAAUCAAUUUGAGUCUGAUAGUCUAAGAGCCAGACGAGCAAAAGACAGCUGGAGAGUUACAUUCAGUGUUCCAGCAGACAGGCUCGUGGCCGCCACGAGGGACCGGCUGAAUGGAAGUGGAACCAGAGGAAAAGCUGUUUCAGUCAUUGCAAACUGAGGAUACUGGAAAAGAUGUAAAAAUUGAUUCAUUUAUUAAAAUCAUAUUUAUUUUGUU